AUGCGCGGGUGGCUGAUCGUCCUGGCCACCCUGGCGGCGUCGGUGACCUACCAGGCGGGUCUGAACCCUCCCGGCAGGUUCUGGCAGGACGACAAGAAGCACACCGCCGGCAACCCCGUGCUGCACGACCGGGUGGUCAAGAGGUACCUGACCUUCUACUACUUCAACGCGACGGCGUUCGCCACGUCGCUGGUGAUCAUCAUCCUUCUCCUCAACGAGCGGUUCUACAAGUCGGAGGCCAAGGUCGCGGCGCUCACCCUCACCACCAUGGUCGACCUCAUGAGCCUGGUGGGCGCCUACAUCGCCGGGUCCACCCGCGACAUGCCUUCCUCUAUCUACAUCAUCGUCCUCACCUGCUUCCUCUUCGUCUGCGUCAUCUACAUCUCCAGGGUGCUGCCGAACCUGUGCUUCAUUGUGCUGUUCAUGGCGCCGCUGCUGUUCAAGGUGGCCAAGAAGGGGUGGCUGCCGGUGACGGAGCGCAUGAAGACCAGGGUGGAGAGGGCCAAGAAGCGGGAAGAGGAAGAGGAUAAAGCAGAAGAAAACACGGCCAAGAGGAGGAGGAACCGGUGCCGGUGCUGCGCGUGCGGCAGGGCCUUCAAGUACGACGAAGAUGAACAUGAUUACCAGCCAUCAGUUUAA
RNAcentral lists this ribosomal RNA (639 nucleotides) under Triticum aestivum (bread wheat). Its description in RNAcentral is "partial small subunit ribosomal RNA". Lineage: Eukaryota; Viridiplantae; Streptophyta; Magnoliopsida; Poales; Poaceae. The record is from RNAcentral.